GACGAACGCUGGCGGCGUGCUUAACACAUGCAAGUCGAACGGAAAGGCCCUGCUUUUGUGGGGUGCUCGAGUGGCGAACGGGUGAGUAACACGUGAGUAACCUGCCCUUGACUUUGGGACAACUUCAGGAAACUGGGGCUAAUACCGGCUAGGAGCUCCUGCUGCAUGGUGGGGGUUGGAAAGUUUCGGCGGUUGGGGAUGGACUCGCGGCUUAUCAGCUUGUUGGUGGGGUAGUGGCUUACCAAGGCUUUGACGGGUAGCCGGCCUGAGAGGGUGACCGGCCACAUUGGGACUGAGAUAGGGCCCAGACUCCUACGGGAGGCAGCAGUGGGGAAUAUUGCACAGUGGGCGGAAGCCUGAUGCAGCAACGCCGCGUGCGGGAUGACGGCCUUCGGGUUGUAAACCGCUUUCGCCUGUGACGAAGCGUGAGUGACGGUAAUGGGUAAAGAAGCACCGGCUAACUACGUG
Molecule: ribosomal RNA, 468 nt
Filed under: uncultured bacterium
Lineage: Bacteria
Description: partial 16S ribosomal RNA
Rfam family: Bacterial small subunit ribosomal RNA
Source: RNAcentral